AGGGGUUCUUCUGCAGAUUGUGGGGUAUAUGGUAAUGACAUAUUUGCAUAAUCAGUUUACUGUAAUUCCCGGACACUAAUUGAGAGAGCAUGAAAACUACUGUAGUUAGUUUGACACUUAUUAGUUAGUUAAAAGUUAGUGAAAAAUAUUAUAAAUAUUAUUACAAAAUAUUUAUUAAAAUAGUUAAAAGUAGGCCGAAUGGAUGUAUGUUUGAAAUAGUUAGCUGGCAUAAAAGUAUAUCGCUAAACGAUUGAGAUAGUUAACUAAAAGUAAUAGAAAAACACUUGAAAUAGAUAGCUAAAAUAAACGGAUAAACAUUUGAAAUAGUCAGCUUAGAGUAACAGAUAUAUGUUGUAAAUAGUUAUUCAAAAGUGACGAACAAAUGGUUGAAUUAUGUAACCGUAUUUGAUAAAUGGUGAAAAAGACUUCAUAGUAAAAGCACAAAUGUAUUUUUGUAAUGUUUGUGGAGUCACACUGAUAGGAAAUAAUGAUUUCAUUCAUCCCUUUAGAAUUCAUCCUGUUUUGGAAAUGAACUCUGCAUGUCUGAUAUUAAACCAUUGUAACUUUUUCCCCAAACAUUUUUCAUGAAAAUAGACAUUUUGUUUCCCUUACAGUUUCUUCACAAAGACAGGAAAAGCUGGUUUCGGUCUGAAGUGAAAGGUGUCAUUUCCUGGAUUCAGGGUGGGAGAGAGAGUUGAUCUUGUGAUGAGCUGAAAUAGAACCACAAGAAGUUUUUCCCCCCAUUGUCUGCGUGCUCCAAACAUGUGCUUCAACACCUGUUUGUUAAAGAUGAGACCGUCAUGAGUGCCUCUCCUGCUGAACAAUCACUGUACGUAAAAAUCUAAAAUUCUCACCUUUACACCUACACCUUGAUACGACACAUAAAGUUAGCAUUAAGAUGACGAACACCGUGAUCCAGACAACCCGGUACA
Sebastes umbrosus (honeycomb rockfish) is the source of this 932-nucleotide long non-coding RNA. RefSeq lists it as uncharacterized. The record is from RefSeq and is a predicted model, not a curated record. The transcript has 3 exons. Lineage: Eukaryota; Metazoa; Chordata; Actinopteri; Perciformes; Sebastidae.